Molecule: ribosomal RNA, 588 nt
Filed under: uncultured Gammaproteobacteria bacterium
Lineage: Bacteria; Pseudomonadati; Pseudomonadota; Gammaproteobacteria
Description: bacterial SSU rRNA
Rfam family: Bacterial small subunit ribosomal RNA
Source: RNAcentral
CCCUACGGGAGGCAGCAGUGGGGAAUAUUGGACAAUGGGCGCAAGCCUGAUCCAGCAAUGCCGCGUGUGUGAAGAAGGCCUGAGGGUUGUAAAGCACCUUCAAUUGUGAAGAAAAGUUUAAGGUUAAUAACCUUAAACCCUGACGUUAACUUUAGAAGAAGCACCGGCUAACUCCGUGCCAGCAGCCGCGGUAAUACGGAGGGUGCGAGCGUUAAUCGGAAUUACUGGGCGUAAAGCGUACGUAGGUGGCUUGAUAAGUCGGAUGUGAAAGCCCUGGGCUCAACCUGGGAACUGCAUUCGAUACUGUCUGGCUAGAGUAUAGUAGAGGGAAGUGGAAUUCCGGGUGUAGCGGUGAAAUGCGUAGAUAUCCGGAGGAACACCAGUGGCGAAGGCGGCUUCCUGGACUAAUACUGACACUGAGGUACGAAAGCGUGGGGAGCAAACAGGAUUAGAUACCCUGGUAGUCCACGCCCUAAACGAUGUCAACUAGCCGUUGGAGGAAUUUAAUCCUUUAGUAGCGCAGCUAACGCGAUAAGUUGACCGCCUGGGGAGUACGGUCGCAAGAUUAAAACUCAAAGGAAUUGACGG